AAGUUUCCCUCAGGAUAGCUGGCGCUCGGAGGAAAAGAAACAGUCUCAUCCGGUAAAGCGAAUGAUUAGAGGCAUUGGGGCCGAAACGGCCUCAACCUAUUCUCAAACUUUCAAUGGGUGAGAUGUCCGGCUUGCUUGAAACACGGAGCCAACGCGAUGCAGCCCCCUUUUCUGGCGGAGAGGGGGACCCGCUCGCCGCGGUCUGAAGCACGGACGUAGGAUGCGAGUGCCCAGUGGGCCACUUUUGGUAAGCAGAACUGGCGCUGUGGGAUGAACCAAAAGCCGGGUUACGGCGCCCGAUGCGGACGCUCAUCAGACCCCAUGAAAGGUGUUGGUUGCUAUAGACAGCAGGACGGUGGCCAUGGAAGUCGGAA
RNAcentral lists this ribosomal RNA (374 nucleotides) under Henia vesuviana. Its description in RNAcentral is "eukaryotic LSU rRNA". It matches the Rfam family "Eukaryotic large subunit ribosomal RNA", at positions 964 to 1266 of the family's 3401-position model. Lineage: Eukaryota; Metazoa; Arthropoda; Chilopoda; Geophilomorpha; Dignathodontidae. The record is from RNAcentral.